ACCGCCCAACGAACCGACGAUCAGUAGCCGGCCUGAGAGGGUGAACGGCCACAUUGGGACUGAGACACGGCCCAAACUCCUACGGGAGGCAGCAG
This 95-nucleotide ribosomal RNA is filed under the name uncultured bacterium. RNAcentral's name for it is "partial 16S ribosomal RNA". It matches the Rfam family "Bacterial small subunit ribosomal RNA", at positions 260 to 354 of the family's 1533-position model. The record is from RNAcentral.